UGUUCCGCCGCUCCUUGUCUCUCAUUUCACCUUUGAUUUUCUUGUAUUGUGUGAACAGAGCAACAGAAGAAGAUGAAAGACGUAUCUUCAACGACACCGUUUCUUCUCCUAUGUUAUACUGCAACCAGAUGUCUUGUUGAGAAUGAUCAAACAAAAACAACAUUCAAUUUUCUCUGCAUAUCAAAAAGUGUUUUUGUUCACAGCAUUGGAGUUCAAGCUGGACACUACUAUGCUUGUAUAUAAGUGCAACACUUUCAAAUCAGUGGUAUGUACUAGUUUGAGGAAUAUUUCGAAUCAUUCAGUAUUUUUGUGUGUUAUUCUAUUCAUCAUAAUAUAUAUUCAUUGUGCACUUUUCUAUUUGUCACAUAAAGUGACAUAAUAUUGGCCACUAUGGUUGUAGAACAGUAGAUAUGUUUGAUGGGAAAAUAUGAGUAAAUCACCAUGAAAAUUCAUUCCA
Trifolium pratense (red clover) is the source of this 457-nucleotide long non-coding RNA. RefSeq lists it as uncharacterized. The record is from RefSeq and is a predicted model, not a curated record. The transcript is spliced from 2 exons. Lineage: Eukaryota; Viridiplantae; Streptophyta; Magnoliopsida; Fabales; Fabaceae.